AGGUAAAUCAGUAUAUGGGGAUGUUUCCCGUACAUUCAAUGUCAGGAAUACAGGAAAAAUAAAUGGGGGAUAAAAUCCCCCAUUUUUGGAUAACU
Molecule: small RNA, 95 nt
Filed under: Shimwellia blattae DSM 4481 = NBRC 105725
Lineage: Bacteria; Pseudomonadati; Pseudomonadota; Gammaproteobacteria; Enterobacterales; Enterobacteriaceae
Description: Escherichia blattae DSM 4481 sraA
Rfam family: sraA
Source: Rfam by way of RNAcentral